RNAcentral lists this long non-coding RNA (17048 nucleotides) under Lynx pardinus (Iberian lynx). Lineage: Eukaryota; Metazoa; Chordata; Mammalia; Carnivora; Felidae. The record is from RNAcentral.
GCAGGUGUUAAAUGACCAAUCCAGAUCCCCUGCACCAUAUAAAUGUAGGUGAUACCAGAUUAACAAGUUCCUAACUUUUUUUUUUUUAAGUUUAAUUUGUUGCAUGUUCUAAAACUGAUUAAUGACCCCUUCCCCUUUUCCUGAAAUUAGUCUGGUGGUAUUAACUUACUCAUUCAACAAGUGUUUCUUGAACAUCUAUCUAUCACAGGCAGGUACUGUUUUAUGAUCUGGCCAAAUGAUGAUGGCUAAAACGGGAGCUGGUCCUGUGCCUGUCUCUAAGCAGAAUUUACACUUACCGGCACUUAAUUGUUAAAGCACUAGAACAGUUCUAGUGUAUCCACAGGGUAUUAUGCCUGUGUAUUCUAAAAACUGUGACUUGGGCCUGCUUUCCUCCCCACCCACCCUCCCACCAAGUAGUCUGCAGGGACAUUUAAGCUACUCGUUUUGUAUUUAAAGGAAGGAGGAAAAAAAGAGAAAGGAAGAAAAGAAUCCAAAUAUGGCUGGCUAAAAUCUUUUCCAAUUGUGGGUUGUAAACAUUUUUCAGAGAAAUAUGCUUCACUUUGAGUAGCUAGUAAAGUGUGACACAGGUUUGUUUUAAAGCUUCCUUUAGGGAGGGAGAGUUAAAAAAAAAAAAACGUAGUGGCAGGUCAAUGUCUGGUUUAAAAUAUGUGAUUUCUUUGCCCAAUCAGGGACAAACACGACCUUCUGUAUAAGUGAAAUCCAAUGUGUCGUUUCAUUGCAUUUUCUACAUCCUCAGACAAAGGCCUAUAUUCUUUAGGAAGCUCACCAAUUAUAGGCCUAAUACAAUGACACUGCUCUCAAGGCUGAGAACAAACAAGGUUGAGGAAACUGGGAGGUGAGAAAAGGCAUCCAAGGCCAGGGUCAGCCUCAAAACCCAAACUCACGGUUUCCCAAAACUGGGGUCAAACACUCAGCUCCUAGUGUGUGCCAGGCAAAGGCAAGCCUGGGGUAAGAGCGUUCACAUCAGGACCACUGAGGUUUCUUUUUAAAGCUGAGUUUUCAGGGUUCGCACUGGAGUCUGAUCCACGUGACUGAGCACUCAGGCUGUUAAUCAUUUCCUUUGCUGCCUGAAUGGAGGCAAGCAAUUACUGCUUGUGCCUUAUUUCCACAACCCAAGUCCUGCCUUGUGUCUGGGGCACAUUACCAAAUAAACUUUGAUCAACACUAAUUCUAUCCCUUACUUUACAAGAAAAAUGCUAUAAAUGGGUGGCUAGAAAGCAUCAUAUUUUCAGGAAUUUUCCCAAGUAACCUGACUAGUUUUCUUUUCUAAUUACUCUUGCCCUCAACAGUCUGGUAGAUGACAUCUGAGAUAGCACAGCAUAUUCCGUCCUUGACACAGUCUGACAGCACAAAGAAAUCUGGCACUUUGCAAUGAAUUAUUAAUGUGCACAAAUAUUGUAGCAUGUAUGAGAUGGGGACCAGCAAAAGGUGAAGUGCUAGUUGCCAUGACACCAGUCAGUUCAAGCUAAGGUUCGUGAUCUUUAACUUUGUCUCAAAGAGUCAUUAAAAGAACAUAAAGGGCAAAUCUAAAAGCACAUCCAAACGGCUUAAGUAUAAAUUCAUGCGUCUGCCACCAUCAGUGGAUCUGAGAGGGGCAACUCAGAUAACUCACUGAACACCUGGACUGCUGUGUGAUCUCCACUCAGGACGGAUUACCUAGAUCAGAAGUUACCACCCAAUACAGGGGGCUCUAAAGAAAGUGCAGAGUUAUUAGCUGGUGUCAGUGGUGGCUGGCAAAGUUAGCUAGAUGCUUAACCCGAGUCGGAGAACUGCGCUCCGUCGCUGCGUCCUUCUGUUCAAAUGUCUGCGAAACAGAGGACAUGUAGUUCUCCAUCAGGAAAAAUGGCUGACUCUCAAUCUAGGGGGUCUCAGAGUCAGUAACCAAUAUACAUUCAUUGGCAUUGUCGGUGGGAGAAUUUAAAGUUGGAACAGAUCUAGGGAGUAUUUUAUCUGCAGCAAGAGAUAACUCUUAUCUCUGUCUCCUGCGUCUGUCUAAAAAGUGUGGAGACAGACCUUUGAAUACUCAUGAGUAAUUUUAUCACAUGACUCCAAUACCAUAAUUGGCCACGAGCUGAUGGGGUUGUUACUGCUGACUAAAAAGAAAAAACAAAGGAGGGAGGAGGACAUUCACAUGGACACUGACAUUCUUAUGAAACAUACUUAAAUCUAAUAUUGCUACAGCUCCUCGAGGUUCUUCAGAGCACUGGGCACUUUGAAAGAUAACUGUAAAGGUCAUAUUUAUAAUAUAAACAAGAAUUCCUUAAACAGAAGUGUGACUGGACACAGACAUGACAUGUCAUAUCUCGAGAAAUCUUUGAAAGUUAGGUUUACGCCAAAUUAACUUCCAACAGUUGUAACCCUCCAGAUCAUUCCUGGUGCUCUUAAUGACACACAGCAACACACAGCCUGUGGCUGCACUGUCAGGACAAAUUAGCCUAAAGUUCGACAAAAGGGAAUGUGAAGAAAUGUGGUGUCUGGCAAAGCCUGGCUUUUGAAAUUUCGAGACUGAUGACAUUUUAAAGGUGUAGGUAAAACACCUAGAAUGUGUUUUCCAUAUUUGCAAGCCAUGCCAGGUUAAUGGACACUAAGGGAAAAGCAAAGUUAAUUUCUCACAGUAGGAAAAAGGCCUCAUGCCAUAUUUUUGUGUGUUUGUAUAACUGUCUUACGGUCAAGUCCAGAAAAAGCAUCUUUGAAAAAGAAUCAUUUUAAAGUGUUUAUCUCUCAUGUGAACACCAAAAAACAGAAGACUUUCAUUUGUAAAGAAGGUCAUAAAUCAUAUUUUGAUGGGAAAAGGAUUAACAUCAUCAGCACAUAUAAAAUAGUAAGGCUUUUCAGAAUCCUCAAAUUAACAGCAGUGUAUACACAACUUGAAAAAAAAAAAAAAAGAAAAGUACAGUUAAGACUCCACUGCACAAAGAACACCUAACUGGACACCCUCACGGCCCCUCCACCUGGUGCAAGAACUCUACUUGCUGUUCUGCUCCUUCUGCCUUUGUCGCCUCCUGGAGUAACUUAUCUUUAUCAGAAUCACAAAGGAACAUACUGCUUAUUUACAAGGCUAAAAUGACAUCUGGUGGCACUCUUCUCUGAAAACUCAGUCACUGCUCCUGGAAAACUAUGAUUCAGUAGUACAUACAAACUAUUGAAGGCGCUGUGAAAAUAUAGUGAGCGCAGUUAAAAAGGCUAAUAGGAUAAAUAUUUCAGCAUGUUUAAAGAUUGAAAAACGGUGACAUACCCCCCCAAGCUAACCUGGGAAAGGAACAUAUGGCUAAAUACUCUUAAUUCUGUAGAUUUACAGGUAUCUGCUUGGUAAAUAUACUGACCACCAAACUUAAGCAAUUUCACUCUGACCACAGAAUGUGAUAGUUGAAAGUUUUCAUUACAAAAUUAUCUUUUAAAAAAUUUUAUUUAUUUAUGUAAUCUCUACAUCCAACAUGAGGGCUCGAACUCACGACCCUGAGAUCAAGAGUUGCAUGCUCUUCUGACUGAGCUAGCCAGGGGGCCCCACAAAAUCAUCUUUAACUAGGAAGUAAAAACUAAAUCUGAACUUGCUAGCAAUAUAUUGAUUAACUCUAAAUCUUUUAGUUUCACUUAACAGCACAAAUUCUGAAAUCAUUAUAAUUGAAUGACAGCUUUUUUUUGUUGUUCUUAUUUGGUGUGUUUGUAGAGACAGGAAAGUCUCCAGACAAAUUGUGCAACAGAGCCCCACGAUACUGAAGCCUGGAACUAAUCUCGGACUUAACAAAACGUUCAUCAAAAUCUCUUAUCAGAUUGACACAAAACAUUCUGUCUUUAGCUAUAGAAGAGAGGCUAAAGAAUAUGUCAUAACUGUUGAAUGCAUACCAAUGUUACAUCUACUGUCCUUUUUGUUAUUAUUUUGAGGCUAUGGGGAUUAGUUUAACGUUUGAAGGCAUCAGCAGUUAAUGCUUAACACACAUGCACUAGUACAUUCCUACAGUUGCCCUGCAACCAAGAAGCUAAUAAAAGAGCUGGGCUUUUCAAAUGAACACCUAGAUGAUGACACCAUGAGUUAUUCAGCAAAAAUAAAUGCUUCAUUAACUUGCCUUCCCACUGUUAAAGCAUGGGAUGAAUCUACCCCAAGGCAGCAACUCACACAUCAACAUUCCCUUGCAUUUUAGGGUUUGCUAUGCAGAAAUGCUGGAAAGGAGGUAACUUAAAACUCAAUCUGUCUGUAAAGUACACUGGUCUUUGGAGUCCACAUGGUCCCAACUGCCAAUCAGCUAACCAUCCUUAUUACUUGACCUCUUUGAAUCUUGAUUUUAACUCAUUUGUGAGACAAAAAGAGAAGGUUCUCCAAGGUUUCUUUGUUCAAAAAUGUUACGGCGACUUAUAUCCAAUAAUGCUUUCUUCGAUUCCUACCACACAUCCGAAAUACAAGUUGUAACACUGAGGUAUAACUUGCAUAAGACUCUCGUAAAUGACUCAAUACGGUAUCAGUUCCAUUAGUGUAGAUGCCAGCAUCUGGUAAGCAGUAAAAAUCUAUUCAUUAAACAUUUAUAUGAUGUCAUGACUGUGCCUUUUAAAAUAAUGGAACUUGAGUUCAAACCUCUUACAUAUUAACAAAAUUACACAUUAUCUGCAAAACAUUGUUUUUCUGUGUCUCGGUUAAACUCAGGGAAGCUUGGUAUGUUAAAAGAAACUGAACGCUGAACACUGUUCCUGAAGUGCUGUCUUCCCUGACCCUCCCCCUGGCCGAGUCCCAGAUGAUCAAAGGAGUGUUCCAUGAUCUCCUUCAAGCUCAGGCCCCUUUCCCUAUUUAAUAACGCUUUACAGAAUGAUGAAAAUAACCCACAAAAUUGCAGCCAAAUAGUCUGCUAAACAUGUUGUCAUUAAUCCCUUUGCUUUGCCCCAAACUCAGAUCGCAUCUCAGAACUUGUAAUAACGACAGAUCUUCCAAAGGGCAGAGGCCCCGCUUCUGCUCUAGUGACUACUAACCACUUCCAGGAGGGAUAAACACUGCACACACAAGCUCAGCCACUGCUCAGGCCCUCUGUAGGGGCCGGACUCCUUUGUCCCUCUGCCCCCAUUCCAACAGCAUGGCCCAGCAACGUCCCCGUGAUCACCCUUCAUCAUCCUCUGUAUUUCGUAUGUGUAAACAGUUUACAUCCUCCCUUGCUUCCUAGUUUGCUUACGGUGGAAUCUUCAAAAAUAAUAAAAUCGUUACGUAAGUAAAAAAUAUAAUCAAGAAGUUACUCCUGAAAACUUAUUCUGAAGUGUGCACUGUAACAACAUAGAAUUUACUCAUUACAGAUGAGGGUCUAUGAGGUCUCUAUGUUGUGUGAGGCACAGUUAAAGAGAAAACUUUCGUCAACAUCUGAGGGAACAUGCACGUUAGCAAAUCAGGUUCCAUGCUGAUGACUGUUUCUAAGCUUUAGUUCUCGUAGUGUAUGAUUUUUCUGGAUUCAGAAGGCAUUUUGGACUUAAAAAAAAAAUCACAACUUAAAUUUGGGCUCAAAAGCCCAUCAGUUGUAGCUUAUAUGUCAGUACCUUCAAACUACCACUCCACUACUAAAUUAAGAGAUAUCUUCAAGGACAAUGAUUGCCAAUCCAGUAACUGGUCUGGUAUAUUCUAGCUUCAUCACAGAAGACGGCACUAAUCACUUCUCAAUCACAACUCUGGCAAAACCACCUAAACCGUUCCUAAAUUGUGAAAACUAAAAAGGAAGACCUCCUCUUAGGUACAGCAGGUGUCUGAGAAAUCAUGCCCUCCAUUAUCUGAUACUGGAUGCUAGUGAUACGCCAGGGGCCAGGAGCGGAGAAAAGGGGCAUGCACAACAGGCAAGGUUGUAACUUAUCCUGGGCAGCUCUUUAAUGCAUGGUCUUCAUUUUGUUUUGUGACUCUUAGGGCUUUGGAAACUCCAUCCUGGGCACGGUGACCAAGGGGAAUAGGGAGCAAAAGUGCACCUGCACUCUUCCUUUUAGAUACUGGACCGGAAUUAAAAAUAAUAAUAAUAAUAAUAAUAAUAAACCUAGAGUAAGAUUGGAACACAGAGUGUGUGGUCUAGCAUUUUUCUUGUCUGGGAGAUUUCUAAAGGGCUGAUUAGCUCAGGAAAGAAAAACAAAAAGGCAGGGUAAGGAGAAUAUUGAGAAAGUGAGAAGGAAAAUGUGUAUUCAAGACCGGUUCCUCCUCAAACUUUGAUGUGCCAAAGAAUCACCCGGGAUCCGAGUCCAAUACAGAUUCUGGCCCAGGAGGUCUGGGAGGGGGUCUGAGAGUCCGCUUUUCUAAUGUACAAUCUGCCAGAUGAUGCCAUCACUGCCACUGCUCUGAACACAGGCUGAGCACAGGGUUCUAGCGAGAGCUAGGGAAUCUGUCUACUCUAAACCUCAAGGGGCUUCAGAUCAAUUUCUCCUACAAACUCAGCAGAAUUGGAAGAUUAAGUUUGCUGCCCUCUAUCCUACCCUCACUCUCUGAACCGGGAUAUUAGGGGUUGGGAAGCCCCACUCUCCAUACCAUUCCAUUCUUGUAAGAUAAAGCCUGGUUCAAACCAAUGUCAAGGGCUCCCAGUGCUUUCUACAGACAACUAUGAGAGUUUAUGGACUGAUUCUCUGUAUAUUUGCCUUGGAUCCAUUUUUAGCAGUGGCAAGCCCUUCUGUUGUCGUUUUGAAUGUUAAUGUAUGUUAAAAUCUGCUACUCAAAGUGAUGGCAUGAGAAGGUGGGGCCUUAGGGAGCCCUCAGGAAUGGGAUCAGUGCCCUUCUAAUGAAGGCCCCAGAGAAACCCUUCCGCCAUGUGAGGUUUCAGCAGACAGCUGUCUAUGAACCAAGAAGUGGGCCCUCACCAGAUGCCAAAUCUGUUGGCACCCUGAUCUUCUUAGACUUGUAGCUUCCAGAAUUGUGAGACAGAAAUUUCUGUGGUCUAUAGCCCAUGCAGUGUAUGGCAUUGUUACAGCAGUGCAAAUGGACUAGGACAACCCCUUAGCCAUUAGAACAGGCUCCCAAACAGAGACCUAGGAGGCUUCAAAGUCCUCUCCCUGCAUCCACAGAGGCUUUGAAGGCUCAGCUUUCAAGACCAGGAAUUUAGGCCCAUUCCACCUCAGCUUUUAACUUUUCCAUUUUUCACAUUUACCUUUCUGAAGCUUUCAUGCUUUGGUAAGCCUAUGAAAAAACCCCACCUAGGAAAACAUCAGCCCUUUACAAAUCAGAUGCUUGGGCCAGAAGUUUGGACAACAGCAGCUGGGCAAAACUGCAUAAUUUUGAAAAUCCAUGAUUAGCAUUUCCAAAGGCAAAGCUUAUAGAGUUAUCUGGAAUUCUAAUCCUGUAAGAUUAUUACGUAACAGAAUAAAAGUUUUACAUUUUCCAGGAGAUAAGCUUUAAAACAACACCAACAAAAAACAAAACUCAAAUCAUCCUGUUACUGACACUUUAUGGUACCAAGUAUUUCUAGAACUUUGUGUAGCCAGUCCUCAUAGAAGUGCCCCAUUUAUUUGCUACCUUUUGUGUCCAGCUUGUCAAUGUCGACAUGUGAACCAGAAAAAGCAAGGAAGCCAAGUGACUGAGAAUAUCCUACAGUCUUCUCAAUGAGGUAACCAUCUCAGAUGCAAACCAUGGAAAAUUACAGAAAAGGCAGGGAAAAAACACAUGAACUGGGCUUUAGUAAUAAAAUUCUGAUGAGGUGCUGGUUCUUUAACCUAGAAUUUUACAUUCUUGUCUAAUUUAUGGAGCAAACUUUCUGGAGAUAUUAAGCUAGGGUUCAUUAGUCAUUGCUAAAAGAACUAAGCUAGUAAAAAAAAAAAAAACAAUCAGCAUUUGAAGGGGGAUUCUUUCAUAAGUGACUCACAGAAGAAAAUUGACAAGGAGCUUUGAACCGGUGGCCCAGCUAAGUAUUUGUAGAAGUUCUAAACUAAAGUCUUGGGAUGAGGGUCUGGGUCCUAGGUUCUUCUUUCCCCAGGGGUGACCUUAGGCUAGUCCUAUAAUCUCUCUCAGUUUGUUUCCUCAUCCAUAAAAAUGGGGAUAAUGGCUCUCUUUAAUUCAGGGUUGCUUUGAGGCUCAAAUGAGAGGAGAGUGUUUAUGAAAGGGUCUGUAAAAUUUAAGUGCUAUAUAAAAGUAUAGUAAAUGCACUCAAGACUCAUUAAGCAUAUAUUUACAGGCUAUUUUGGUUACAAGUGCCAUCUAUUUUUGGUGAUGUUGUUUCUUCAAGUUCCUGCAGUUCCUGGUUCUUACUAUGUAUGGCUCCCAGGCCUCCCUGCCCUCCACACAGCACCAGACCACGCUUCCGGCAAAAUGCCAGUAGCUGACCACCAGAAGCAGCCUCAAAACCAUAUUGCUAAGCAGCUGUUUCAAUUGCCCAGCCCCUUCCGUUCAGAACCCUAGAUGCUGCUGGGAAACAACAACGCUUUCCAGUAACACCUCUCCUCUAACCCUCUCUCCUCCAGUCCUCUUUUACUAGGAGCAGAAACAACCGCUGAAAAUAUAAAUUACGACACCUGACAGAGAAGAGUCUAGCAAACAUAAAAAUAUUAAAAGUUAGUACAGAACUAUUUUAAGAUAACUUAUUAUACCUGAUGUGUCUUUUUCCCAAGAGAUAAUAGAACUAUCUCGUCUUUAAAAACCCUUGAGAAGUCAGUAGGGGGCAGUAUGUUAAGUGCAAUUUGCAGGUGGGAAAAUUCAGGCUUUGAAUUUUAAGUUUCAGUUGUCCUCAAAAUACCCAUGUGCUUACAUAAGUUAUACCACAAAUAUUUUCCCAGUUACACUGAUUUGGGAAGUGUUAUUUUGAGCCCCAUUGUUUAGAAUAACACUAAGAAGCUGAACCUUGUUAAUAUUUAAAAAUUCCAGUACUAAGCUAUUUGAAAGAAAGGCAAGAAAAAUUCACGUUUUUAUGCAAGCAGCAAAUGAGAGAGAAACAGCACGGUUUCCCCAAACCAAACCAAGCAAAACAAAAAAAGCAAGACAACAACAAAACCCCCACAAAAAACAACCUUCACAAUAUUAACACCAUGGCCAUCUUUCACGCAUCAUUUUGUGUGAUCUUUGAAAGUUUCACAGACCAAGUAAUGUUUUGUUUCCAAAUGUGAAUUCAUCGUAAGUGGCUUGUCAGUUGGGCUAAUUUGACAGCACUCAAGGCUGCGGCAGUAAUUGCCCUGACUUGUUAAAUAUUCUAGCAGCAUUUGCUGCAGUGUUGAAAGUUUUAUGAUCAUUAGGAGAGGAUAUUCAGUUUUUUCCCUGUGGUUCACUUAAUUUUAGUCUCAGAGCGUUUAGGAAAAUGGUCCCUGACAGGUGUGAACUUGAUUUCUAAGAGAAUUGACAAAUAAAGUAAAAUGAAAAAGGAAUCUAAGAAUGGGCCAUGCUGGGUAAGAUCAAGUGAAAGAUGUAAGUGUUCCCUGUGUUGAAAGGCACACCCUCCAGGGCUGGGAUGGCAUAAGCCUGCAAACCCAGGCUGACCGGGACCCAAUGGCUGGCCAAAUGUGUCAAGGUGACUGGGAUUAAAUCCUACAGCCCUGCUCUGACAACCUGUACUCCAAACAGUGGUAUCUUAAGUGUGAGGCCACAAUAUAGCGAAGUUCUCUAAGGCUGGCCCACUCCAAAGACUGCCUGUACACUCUACCUGUCCACUACAGAUUUUCAAAGAAAGAAUUACGAGAUACCACCCUCUGAGUUAUUUUCCCAUUAUGCUUACAAGAAGUCUCAGCCUAAAAGGAAUCUUUAGGUCAGAUGAUAAUAGAAACCAUAAAGGGUUAGGUCUUUGAAUAGCUAACUCCUAUAGUAACUUCGGAGAUUUAAAAAAAAAAAAAAAAAUCAGUAAUUAAACCAAGAGAGAUUAACACAUUUUAAUCUGAUCCCUAGAGUUCCAGGCUCAAAACAUUGGAUUUAACUCAUUCAGUUGAUACAGGGAGUAGUUCCCGAUUUCUUAAGGACUAUCAGAGUUUGUCAUACUCCAAAGAUUAGCUACAAAAGGCCCUUUAUCUUGGGAAAAUUACCGCUUGUAUGUGCACAAGGAAAGAAGAUACAAAUCCACCCUGCCAGGACACCCCCUAGUGGAAAUUCAGCAUAGUACAUACAAUUUGGGGUUCCAAAAACAUCCUGGGUAUUUAGGACUUAACACAGUGGUUCAAAUGAACUUUUUCCAGUCCGCUGGCUAUAAAUACACCAUAGUCAUGAGCCUUAUUAUUCAUCAAGCAUUCCAAAUCAAGAAAACAAACAUGUCAUCUAUACAUCUAUCCACGUAGGCAGGUAUCUGAAUUAAACAGAGGCAUACUGGCUACUUAUAAUUGAACGAAGCUUAAUUUUGGUUUCUGAAAGAAACAGAACAGAAAUUUUAGAUGAGUCUGUUAAUAUUCUUUAAUUCAAGGAAAAAACAAAUAAAAAGGGGUUCCCUACUUUAAAAAAUUAUUCUAAGUCCCAAGUGAGGUUAUUAAACUUCUUGAAAGGAAUUGUAUUCAAGUUAACUAAAGUCAAUUCACUAGAAUUUGCCAAAGAUCUUAAAAGUCUGAAAAACGGUUAGGGUAAAAACAAAUUUAAAGGGAGAGAAUAAAUGAGGAGAAUACGAGCAGUUAAGUAUUUGGCCACAGGGUUUGUAGCUCUUCCGUAGGCCCCAGUGACCCAAUCCUGCAAUGAACAGCAAAGGACACCACCCAGGCACACUCCAUUCUAGCUUUUUGAACAAGCUAUUCAAUCAGUGUUAACAUUAGCACAGGUUAAAGAAUGCUUUCACUUUGACAUGUCCUGUAGAUUAAUUUCUACUUGGGCAGAUAACGGAUAAAGCCCUAGAUGAAGAAAUAAUGAGGGAGAAAAGAACAAACAUCAACUCCGCUUCCAGGAAUCGAGAUAACAGGACAUAAUCAAACAAGAGUGGGCCAUUCCCUGGAUGGAACUUUAAACUAUUCUACAAGGACUACACCCUAAUAUACAAAGAGACUAUUAAGUUAACACAAAAAUAUUAUGAAUAUUUUUUCCUCUCUCAGGAGUAGUGAUACAUUUUGUCUAAACUAUUCAACUUCUUUUGUCUCCCAGGACUCAAAUGGUAGACAGCGGAGCGCUCAGGGCUCCAUCAAGGCACAGUGCGGUAUCCAGCCCUGUGGGAGUUUUGGGUUGACCAGGAGAUAUGAUAGAUGAUGAGUUUGGAAGGCAGGUGGAAAUCAGCUUUAGAAGAUCUAAGCUGCCAUGCUAAUAAGCCUGGACUUCAUGCUGUGAACAAUAUGGUCACCCAAGGGUUUGGGGUAGCAUAAUCUUUAAGCAGGCACAUAACAAAUUCAAGUCUGCUAAGAUAACCCUACGUUGAAGAGCAAAGGCUGGGAACAGGGAAAGAAGUUCAGAGACUCCUCCCAAAGUCCAGGCAAGAGGUGAUGGAAGCACAUGGGAUAAGGCAGGACUGGGAAGGAGGGGAUCAAAGUACAUGGUAGCAACAGAACAGUCAGGACUCAUGAAUGCGGGCAGGAUGGAGAAUUAAAGAUACUGCUGAUGUUCCCAAGUUUGGCACUGGCCACACCAGGGAAUUCAAGAAGGGGCAAAAAGAAGUGAGCUCAGUUUUGAGAUGUGUUGAUUUUAGGGAAUGAGUGGAACAGCCAAGACAGGUGUGUGAACUUGGGAACUGUGUUAGAAAUCAGAUGAAGCCAUUGAAAUAAACAGAUUACCCAGCUAGAGGUACACAGUGAGAAGAGGUCUGAGUAUGCAAUCCUAAUCAUUACAUCUCAGAAGCAGGGAGGCCAGGAGGACUGGGAAGACAAGAGAAGCAGGAAAAAGUGGGCUUUUUAUGGAAACUAAAGAUGAGUUUCAGAGAUGGUUAACAGGAUCACAUUCUGUAGAAUGAUCAAGCUGCACACUGGAUUUGGCAAUUACGGGAGCACUAUUACUUCUUCAUAUGAUAUUGGUUACUCAGCAAUAUUUCUCUGAACAACUGAGGUAACCAGACACAGAUUAAAACAUGUAUCUAAAAUAUUGGAAAGAUUUUUAGAGGAUGGUUCUCUGCUCAUACCAGUUAUGUAAAGUGAUGUUUUAUCAAGUCAUAGAUACUGAUUUCUAGUAGCAAUAGAUUUGGGCCUAGCAUGUAACAUACCGAACAUAGAAACUCGAUGUUCGAUGGGCAUGUGAUCUUAUUCUAUGUUAGGAAACAAGGCUAUGAAAUGACCCUCUUAGGGACACAGUCCCAAGUACCUGAGUGGUUGCUACCUAAGAGAUAUUCUGAAGUGGGCUCACAAGAAUUAAUAAGAUAGAGUAUUCACACCCCAGGUCAAUUUGCAGUUCAGUUCAAGACCUAAAAAAUCUUUAUUUCUAAAGCUCAAACAUGAUACUUAUGCAUGUUAUUUAUUUAACAGACCCGUUCUAUCAGAGACUUAAAAAUUGGCCAUGAAUUCCAACCUUUUAGUAGCUAUUGUAAGAUAGGAAAAUAAUAUUUUAUAAAACAUUUGGUAUAACAAUUCUUAAUAUUAUGGUUUGAAGGAGGAAGUACUAGCCUAGUAGUUUUAUAUGAACACUUUAGAAAUGAUUUUUUUUUAAAUUCUAAACCUAAGAGGACUUGAACAAAACUAGGUUUCUCUAACCAGAGAACAAUACAGUAUUUGAGAUUAAAAACCAGUAAAUCACAUAGGAACUUAAACACUAAUGAUUAGGGACCAUUCAUGAGAUAUUAGGUACUACCAUAGCACUAAUGUCUUUAAGUGCUACAUUACUCAGAUCUAGGUGGUGGGCUUUUACUUUUCCUGGAUGGAUUUUAACUAAAUAGACUUUAGACAUUUGGAUAUAGAUAAAUGCCUAAUUCAGUAAUUAGUAUUUUAAAACUGUGAAACCUUUUAAGUUAAGUGGUCUAUUAAUUAACUACCAAUUAUCUUGUCUGACUACCGUAUCAAUAGAAGUAAAUUACCGACUAGCUAUUUGACAGAUUUAGCCCUUUACCAUGCAAAAUUUCUGCAGAACAUAAAAGGCCUGGAGUUAAAUGCUUUUGCUACCCCCUUUUGGUUAAUCAGGGAUCAAUUUGCUGCUCACGUAUAAAGGCCAAAUGCAGCUCUCUGGUCAAAAAGGAUCUAUAGAUAAACUAUGUCUCGCAAAAACAGCAAGCCAAGAUUGGACUCCUCUUAAAAAAAUAACAAGUGAAGCAACAUUAACGUUUUGGGGGGAAACAUGGGUUUGUAAUUCCUGUAUGGAGGCCAACCUGCCAUAUUUCAGAGGAGUCUAGAGAGGUAUUUUCAAGUUUUUGUAUCACACAGAGAUACAGAGGGAGCCUAAGUGAAUGUUUUCUGUGAUUAUGCCCCAAUUAAUGUGCAUCGUAUUGCAUACAUUCUCCUUGGUCUUGUCCUAACCAUGAAUGUCGCACAACAGAUUAUACUGACUAGAAUCCAUCCCAAAUCUAUCACUUCUUAACUGGUGACCAAGAGAAGGUUCCUAGGAGAGCUGCUGGUGAUGGAAGAAUACUGGACGAUGAAGGAUCACAGGACACUGGAGGGCUGUGCAGAACAAUGGCAAGUACUGUGAAAACUUCCAAUUGCUUACAAGUACAGACUACGAGGUUAAGAAUCAAGGAAGGAACACAGGAAAAAUCCUCUCCUUGAGGCCCAGCCAUUAGGAAAUAUGAAUGGUUGCCAUAAAUUCAAUUGGAGCUUGAUUCAAAUUGGUUUAUCAACACCGGCCUUCUCACAGUCGCUAGCCUUGCACCAAUGAGCAGAGUUAAUAUACUACAGUAAAUACGAGCACACAGGCGAGGCCGGGAGAAUGGAAAAGUUGUAUAGGAAAAAAAAAGGAGAUACAAACAAUUAUGAAUGUGAGCCAGCCCCAUUUUGAAAUUUCCUCAAUCUUAUGCAGCUUGAAUUAGUCCAACAUAAUGCCUAUUACCUUUUGAAAUUUCAGAAGACAGGUCCCUGUGAGUAUCCUCUGAGUAGGCUAUCUUCUAAAUAUUUAAGCAGAAGUCUAGCCUAUACUAUCAAACAUUUAUUGAGUGUUUAUUUAGUCUCAGGAGUAGAGUUCUAUUGCAGGCAGGGGAAAACAAAUAGAAGUAUAUAACAAACUGCCUUCAGAAAGCUUGCCAUCUAUUUCAGAAUUUCAGGGCACAAUGCGUAAAAAAUUACACAAAAGAGCAUGUACUGUGCCACAAAGGAGGAGAAUUAAGAGAUGUUGCAAGAGAUUAAUAAUGGCAAGAAGAGAGGGGCACCUGGGUGGCUCUGGUGUCUGACUUCGGCUCAGGUCGUGAUCUCCCGGUUUGUGAGUUCGAGCCCCACAUGGAGCUCUGUGCUGGCAGCUCAGAGCCUGGAGCCUGCUUCGGAUUCUGUCUCUCCAUCUCUCGGCCCCUCCCCUGCUCAUGCUCUGUGUCUGUCUCUCAAUAAUAAAUAAACGUGAACAACAAAAAAAAUUUUUUUAAUAAUGGCAAGAAGAGAAAAAGCUUUAGACAAGUCAUUUAACUGCAGCUUCAUCAGAAAAUAAGGGAUUAGAAAAUAAGAUGAUCUCUAAGGAUUCUUGCAGCUCUAAUAUGCAAAAAUGCCAGAAAAGGGCUGGAGUGGGGAGGGAAGAUUAUAGUAAGAACUUGAGCUAGGCCUUAAAAGGUAGAAGAGUGGAGGAAGAGGGUCUCCAGGCAGGGCCAGUAGUAGAAGGGUUUGGAAGUAGGAGCACCCACAGCUUUUCAGUGGAAGUCCACACGGCUUUCCAAUUCACUACAUGGGACUUUAACUCUGGGUCGCGAUCAACAUACCAUUUAGUGUUUUAUGAAAACAGACAUCGACUGCUACUUAGAAGUCUGGCUCCAGACAAUCUGUUCAAAUGACUACACAACUGUUUGCUCAGCUGAUCUACUUUUUAAAAUGAACGGGGCAACUUCUUUCCCCCAGCCAAAUAUAGUAAAAAGACACACUGGUUAUUUUCUCUGGAAGGAAAACAGCAUAAACCAAUACAUCUUUAGACAGUUGUCACACACAUUUUUGUUAAAGAGGACUACUGGAAAGGAAGCUGAAUUCAGGUAGCUCUUACAUCACUGCAUAUGUGCACCCACCCACCCAGCCCCACUGCCAGUCCCUGUAAAAAUUAUAGUAAGUCUUCCUUUAAAUUUUAGUUGCUAGUUCUCAACUUCUUAAAAGGUUUGUAAGUCUCGGCAAGAAGUCAGAAAUUCCAACUCUAAAAUGAAUUUUCUGACUCAAUAUUGAAAAUAAAUUCUUAAGUUUAGAUGCUUAGGGGAAAAACAGCUGGAGAAUUCAGGAGCCUCCCAUAUUUUAAUAUGAAGUGACGUCAUUAUGGUCAAGGCUUCCAAGAACUCCCUAAAUUGUGUAGUUAAGCAACAUCUCAAAGCAAAGUAAGGACUCUGGGAAGGUGGUAUAUUCCUCCUUAGUAUACAGAUUCAAUUCCACAAUAAUUUUUCUGUCAGAGACCUGAUUCAAUUUUCUCCUUAGGUUAGAAAGUAGUCCAAUAUUAGAGUACAGUAUAUCAAAUGAUGUGCAUUUUCAAAGCUAAAGCUAUGGAUUUUCUGUGCUUAACACUCUAAAUUAGCUCCCAUUUUAUAGGAUAUCUAGCGAGAAAAGGCUGCUUUCCUCUUCAAAGUAUUUAACUGCAGACUGUAUGGGGUUUCUUUAAAAGUGUGUUUUCAUUUGCAAUUUUAAAAUUCAGGAAAGUAAUCAUACAGAGAAAGUAGGCAAGAUUUUAGAGCACUGGGUAGGUCAAAGUUUAUGGUUCAGAAACUGAGGAUCAUCUCAGUCAAAGGCUAUGGAGAAAAAAAAAUACUGGUGUUGGUUCACAACUAGCCCACCAAUGGCUUAUAUAUCUGUUUAAGGAUGACGAGCUGACUAAAAUGAACUGGAAUUUCUAAGGCACUUCCAUCCUUAUCAUUCAAAUACAAAAACUACAAGGCCACCUGCAAUUCACAUGUGUUAUUUCAAAUGGUGGCUGCUUGUUUUACUCAGAAUUGUCAAUACAUAGGAUUCUUGAUAAACUGUAUUGCCAAGUUUAUUCAUCUGCAGUGCCCUUUACUCACCUGAUGCACCCCUUGCCACUUGUUCUUGUGGACCCCAUGGCAGCAGGGACUUUUAUUCAGUUGCCCACCCCCACUGCACACAAGACAGACAGACAGACAGACACACACACACACACACACACACACGUAUGCACAUGCGCCCCCCCCAAAACACACUUAAGUUCCCCCAAACUGUAUUUGGUAAUCUCCUUACUCAUUUAAAACAUCAAUAUGAGUUAGUUAAGUCAUUUAUGUGUUCAUUUCUUGAGGUUUGAAAAUGGGUUAAAUAGAGCUCAUGUUUGAAAAUAAAACGUUAAAGGAAGCUUCUUUCAGGAUCAGAGAAAUGGUUUGAUAUUCAAGGAACAACAUUUGAAUAAGCAGUUCUAAAGCCAGAUUAAGUUUUUAAGCAGUUGCUAAAAAAUUAAUGAGGUUUAAUGUGACCUAUUUAAAAGAAACAGUUCUUUGUUGUGUUCCAUUACAAGGCUAAUCCGCCUAUGGAAAAUACAAAAAAAAAAAACCAAAAACAAAAAACAAAACAACAACCCAACAUCGUACCUCCUUACCCUUUCCUUAUUGGCUCUUACCUAUCUACGAAAAUCAAGGGAAUUACUUCAGAGGAGGAAGAGAAUAAAGUGGGUCAACAGUGUACAGUUAUGGGGGAGAGCUUCACACCCAACAUUACUGAAGUUUAGCUGGAAAAUUGGGAUUCAUUUUGUCCCCAGAGCAACAGAAGGCCCUCCUUCCCUCUCAUCCUUAGAUGCUGUAGUUCUGACGGUUAGAAGCGGAUAUGGUUCAAGUCUCUCCUUCCUCAAGUCUCACCGUCCUCCUGCCCCUUAUAUAGCGACUCUGUGGUCCUAUCAGGGUGACUUCAGUUCUCCUGAGAGAGGCAUCUUGUAAGCUGAGACAGUUCUGAGACCUACUCCAUCAGGACAAUGCCACAGACCCUGUGGCUGGUCAAUGGAUGUUAAGUGACUGCCAGGGUGGCCUGACCACUCCCAAUGGACCACAAAUGCUGAUCUCAGAAUCUCUGGCACUUUCUAAAAUGUGGCUGAGCAGUAAUUUGGAAGCCUAAACUCUGACUUCAGGAAUUCAUAAGAACAACCAAUGUUUUACAAACUCAACAGAAAGUAAAAUAAACAAACCCAGGGUUUU